UCGCGUUGCAAGAGCUUCAUCCACAGUGCUUGGGAGGAGGGUCUGUCUAGUCCACACAUCAUUCCAGGAUGGGGGUAAAACAUGCUCUGGUUUAUUG
This is a long non-coding RNA of Etheostoma spectabile (orangethroat darter), 97 nucleotides long. RefSeq lists it as uncharacterized. The record is from RefSeq and is a predicted model, not a curated record. The transcript has 3 exons. NCBI's taxonomy places the organism in Eukaryota, Metazoa, Chordata, Actinopteri, Perciformes, Percidae.